This 467-nucleotide ribosomal RNA is filed under the name uncultured bacterium. RNAcentral's name for it is "partial 16S ribosomal RNA". It matches the Rfam family "Bacterial small subunit ribosomal RNA", at positions 29 to 507 of the family's 1533-position model. The record is from RNAcentral.
ACGAACGCUGGCGGUGUGCUUAACACAUGCACGUCGAACGGAAAGGCCCUGCUUUUGUGGGGUGCUCGAGUGGCGAACGGGUGAGUAACACGUGAGUAACCUGCCCUUGACUUUGGGAUAACUUCAGGAAACUGGGGCUAAUACCGGAUAGGAGCUCCUGCUGCAUGGUGGGGGUUGGAAAGUUUCGGCGGUUGGGGAUGGACUCGCGGCUUAUCAGCUUGUUGGUGGGGUAGUGGCUUACCAAGGCUUUGACGGGUAGCCGGCCUGAGAGGGUGACCGGCCACAUUGGGACUGAGAUACGGCCCAGACUCCUACGGGAGGCAGCAGUGGGGAAUAUUGCACAAUGGGCGGAAGCCUGAUGCAGCAACGCCGCGUGCGGGAUGACGGCCUUCGGGUUGUAAACCGCUUUCGCCUGUGACGAAGCGUGAGUGACGGUAAUGGGUAAAGAAGCACCGGCUAACUACGUG